This 1660-nucleotide long non-coding RNA is filed under the name Glycine max (soybean). RNAcentral describes it as "long non-coding RNA (GMAX_LNC003091)". The record is from RNAcentral. Lineage: Eukaryota; Viridiplantae; Streptophyta; Magnoliopsida; Fabales; Fabaceae.
UUACGUAAUAGGAAGAGAGAUAAAUAAAAUGAACAAUGGAAUGGAAAGAGAUAAGAAAAUAAAUAAAUUAUAAAAAAGUGUUAUUAUGUGUUGUAAAGGGUAGAAUUAUCCAAUUCGGAUUUCGGAAUAUAUUAAAAGCUAGCCACCCUAUAUUUUAUCUUUUCUUUUCUUUUAUUUUUAAAAUACAAAUUUCUAAUGUAUAUAUAAAUGUGAAGACUCAUGAGCUCAUUGAGUCAACAACAACCUAGGUCACAACCGAGGCAGUCUUUUAUUUUAUAGUAUAAUUCAUUCUGUCAUAUAUCUGUGUAGCAAUGGUGGUCUUUCUUUGCAAGGAAGAAUAUGGUGUGCUCUUGGGCAAUGACUGGGCUGCAACUCAUGAAUUUGGCCACAACUUUUGUAUCUCAAAUGAAGGUGACGAUGACGAUGAUGAUAAUGGCGUCAUUGAUGUGGCCCCAGCGGCAUAGAAGAAUUUCGCAAAACAUGCAUAAAUGAGGAGGAUGAGGAGGGAUAUAGUAGUAGUCAGUGUAAGCUUCAUUCUGUAGUCUUGCUUAGUAAUUACAUUACAUUUGUGUUUACUCUUGGAAUAGGUUCUAGUGUUAUGCUUAAUUACGGUCACUAUAAAUUUGAGACAUAAUACAUGUUUUAUUAGUAAUUAAUGAUUAAUUCCACUCUCUCUCUCUCUCUCUCUCUCGGACCCAGUAAUUUUCUUGUCGAUCGUCUUUGACUCUAUUAUCUGAUCAUAGUUUUUUAUUUAUAAUAAUUUGAUGGCAAUUGGCAAUGUACUUGUAAUGGGGUGCAGGCAAAUUUGAUAAAUUUGACAUGACCCAAUUAUAAAAGGUUUCCUUUAAUAAACUUAUUAUGAUGAUCUAUACAAGAGUUUGCUAUGUGUACCUUCCAGUUCAUUUUUUCCUUGGCAGAAUCAUGGUUCAGGGAACACAUAAAUCAAGCUUAUAUAUAUGCAAAGAAGAAAUUAAAUUAGUGAGUUGAGUUUAUGACAAUUUCUUAACCAUCUUGUUUCCUAAUGAGGGAAGCCAAUGAUCCCCAUUCACCUUUUAAUUUAAUUAACUACAAAGGAAAAUCCUAUCAGAAAGAAGCUAGCUAGCUGAGCAAUUUUUACACUUUGCAUGGCAAUUUUACAUAAAAUAAUUCAAAUGUGUUUGAUCUAUCUUGAGAUUCAGAGUAUUCUCAUCAUAUAUGCCUUUUCUUAUCAGAUAAUUAAUUCAUUGUUUUCUGGAUUUUCUCCUCAUCAGCGCAUUACACCAAGCUAUAUGUAUUGCUUGAAAAAGUCAAAGAGACAUUAUAGAUAUUAUUUGACGUUAUAGAAAGCUUCCGUACGUUUCAGAAAAGGAUAUAUAUAUAUAUAUAUAUAUCAGAAGCAAAAGUGUCCACCGUCCACCAAAACAACAAAGUAACCAAGUUGCGGUUGUAGUAACAGUAAAUGUAACAAUAGAGCAUUCUAUUAUUACAUUAGUACAAAUGUACAACUAUAGUAUAAAAGAGGCAGUCUAUAGUAUUAAUAUACAACUAUAGACAAAAAAUAAAAUCAGACGAAGUGGUAUCAUGGGAGAGCCUUUUCAUGUUUGUUCGUUCCUUAAAAAUACAUAGCACUAUUUCAAUCUGUUUCUAAAUUUAUUAAUAUACUUAUAUAUCAUGAUUUCCA